AUAAUGAUACUUCCGUCCAGUCACAGUCCGAGCGUGAAGCGGCAAGCCUGCCGCAAUCCGCCGCAGGCAAUGAGGGCGGCCCGGUGAGAUCCACGGGGUGGUGAAAUUCCAAUGA
Molecule: non-coding RNA, 115 nt
Submitted as: unclassified sequences
Source: Rfam